RNAcentral lists this ribosomal RNA (356 nucleotides) under uncultured bacterium. RNAcentral describes it as "bacterial SSU rRNA". It matches the Rfam family "Bacterial small subunit ribosomal RNA", at positions 135 to 474 of the family's 1533-position model. The record is from RNAcentral.
GGAUGGGGACAACAGACGGAAACGACUGCUAAUACCGAAUGUGUUCCGGAGACCGCAUGAUUUCCGGAAGAAAGGAUGGCCUCUAUUUAUAAGCUAUCGCCUGAAGAGGGGUUUGCGUCUGAUUAGGCAGUUGGUGAGGUAACGGCCCACCAAACCUACGAUCAGUAGCCGGUCUGAGAGGAUGAACGGCCACACUGGAACUGAGACACGGUCCAGACUCCUACGGGAGGCAGCAGUGGGGAAUCUUCCGCAAUGGACGAAAGUCUGACGGAGCAACGCCGCGUGAGUGAUGACGGCCUUCGGGUUGUAAAGCUCUGUGAUCGGGGACGAAUGGCUGGUAUGCUAAUACCAUAUCA